This 22-nucleotide non-coding RNA is filed under the name Arabidopsis thaliana (thale cress). Lineage: Eukaryota; Viridiplantae; Streptophyta; Magnoliopsida; Brassicales; Brassicaceae. The record is from RNAcentral.
GCAGCUUCGUCUCCUUGCGCCA